This is an unclassified non-coding RNA of Erinaceus europaeus (western European hedgehog), 337 nucleotides long. Its record names the gene 7SK. It matches the Rfam family "7SK RNA". Rfam says of the family: 7SK was discovered as an abundant small nuclear RNA in the mid-70s but a possible function has only recently been suggested. The record is from Ensembl. Lineage: Eukaryota; Metazoa; Chordata; Mammalia; Eulipotyphla; Erinaceidae.
GGAUGUGAGGGUGAUCUGGCUGAGACAUCUGUCACCCCAUUGAUCGCCAGUGUUGAUUCGGCUGAUCUGGCUGGCUAGGCGGGUGUCUCCUUCCUCCCUCACCGCUCUAUGUACUUCCCUGCUGAAGCUGUGUGCUCGGUUGGUCGAAGAGGACAGCCUUCCCAGAAUAGAGACUGGACGAAUCUUUGGUCGAGGGUAUAUGAGUAGCUGCGCUCCCCUGCUAGAACCUCCAAACAAGCUCUCAAGAAUCAGAUGUGCUUCUAGAUAAAAGGGUCCUUUGCUCUACUUAACCUACAAGUCUAGGAAACUAGGAAAUGAGCAAGUUACUCCUUAAUUU